RNAcentral lists this ribosomal RNA (491 nucleotides) under uncultured bacterium. RNAcentral's name for it is "partial 16S ribosomal RNA". It matches the Rfam family "Bacterial small subunit ribosomal RNA", at positions 29 to 506 of the family's 1533-position model. The record is from RNAcentral.
AGUGAACGCUGGCGGUAGGCCUAACACAUGCAAGUCGAACGGCAGCACAGUAAGAGCUUGCUCUUACGGGUGGCGAGUGGCGGACGGGUGAGGAAUACAUCGGAAUCUACUUUUUCGUGGGGGAUAACGUAGGGAAACUUACGCUAAUACCGCAUACGACCUACGGGUGAAAGCAGGGGAUCUUCGGACCUUGCGCGAUUGAAUGAGCCGAUGUCGGAUUAGCUAGUUGGCGGGGUAAAGGCCCACCAAGGCGACGAUCCGUAGCUGGUCUGAGAGGAUGAUCGGCCACACUGGAACUGAGACACGGUCCAGACUCCUACGGGAGGCAGCAGUGGGGAAUAUUGGACAAUGGGCGCAAGCCUGAUCCAGCCAUACCGCGUGGGUGAAGAAGGCCUUCGGGUUGUAAAGCCCUUUUGUUGGGAAAGAAAAGCAGCAGGUUAAUACCCCGCUGUUCGGACGGUACCCAAAGAAUAAGCACCGGCUAACUUCGU